RNAcentral lists this ribosomal RNA (488 nucleotides) under uncultured bacterium. RNAcentral's name for it is "partial 16S ribosomal RNA". It matches the Rfam family "Bacterial small subunit ribosomal RNA", at positions 28 to 507 of the family's 1533-position model. The record is from RNAcentral.
GACGAACGCUGGCGGCGUGCUUAACACAUGCAAGUCGAACGGAAAGACCCUGCUUUUGUUGGGUGCUCGAUUGGCGAGCGCGUGAGUGACACGCGAGUAACAUGCCCUUAAAUUUGGGAUAACAUCAGGAAACAGGGGCUCAUACCGGAGAGGAGAUCCUGCUGCAUGUUGGGGGAUGGAAAGUUUCGGCGGUGGGGGCUGGACUCGCGGCGUAUUAGCUAGUUGGUGAGGUUGUGGCUUAACAAGGCUUUGACGGGUAGCCGGCCUGAGUGGGUGGUCGGCCACACUGGAAGUGAGACACGGUCCAGGGUCCUACGGGAGGCAGCAGUAGGGAAUCGUGCGCAAUGGGGGAAAGCCUUACGGAGAAGCGCGGAGUGAGUGAGGAAGGUCUCCGGGUCGGAAAACUCUGUUAUUGGGGAAGAACACGUUUGUACGUAACUAGGAACGUCUUGACGGUAACUGGUCAGAAAGCCACGGCUAACUACGUG